This 482-nucleotide ribosomal RNA is filed under the name Salmonella enterica subsp. enterica serovar Give. Its description in RNAcentral is "partial 23S ribosomal RNA". It matches the Rfam family "Bacterial large subunit ribosomal RNA", at positions 1 to 522 of the family's 2925-position model. The record is from RNAcentral. Lineage: Bacteria; Pseudomonadati; Pseudomonadota; Gammaproteobacteria; Enterobacterales; Enterobacteriaceae.
GGUUAAGCGACUAAGCGUACACGGUGGAUGCCCUGGCAGUCAGAGGCGAUGAAGGACGUGCUAAUCUGCGAUAAGCGCCGGUAAGGUGAUAUGAACCGUUAUAACCGGCGAUUUCCGAAUGGGGAAACCCAGUGUGACUCGUCACACUAUCAUUAACUGAAUCCAUAGGUUAAUGAGGCGAACCGGGGGAACUGAAACAUCUAAGUACCCCGAGGAAAAGAAAUCAACCGAGAUUCCCCCAGUAGCGGCGAGCGAACGGGGAGGAGCCCAGAGCCUGAAUCAGCAUGUGUGUUAGUGGAAGCGUCUGGAAAGGCGCGCGAUACAGGGUGACAGCCCCGUACACAAAAGCGCAUGUGCUGUGAGCUCGAUGAGUAGGGCGGGACACGUGGUAUCCUGUCUGAAUAUGGGGGGACCAUCCUCCAAGGCUAAAUACUCCUGACUGACCGAUAGUGAACCAGUACCGUGAGGGAAAGGCGAAAAGA